This 327-nucleotide unclassified non-coding RNA is filed under the name soil metagenome. RNAcentral's name for it is "partial contains 5.8S ribosomal RNA, internal transcribed spacer 2, and large subunit ribosomal RNA". The stretch from base 1 to 120 matches the Rfam family "5.8S ribosomal RNA", at positions 35 to 154 of the family's 154-position model. The record is from RNAcentral.
GAUGAAGAACGCAGCGAAAUGCGAUAAGUAAUGUGAAUUGCAGAAUUCAGAGAAUCAUCGAAUCUUUGAACGCACAUUGCGCCCCUUGGUAUUCCGGGGGGCAUGCCUGUUCGAGCGUCAUUAUAACCCCUCAAGCUCAGCUUGGUGUUGGGGCCUGCCGACUGGCAGCCCUUAAAAUCAGUGGCGGCGCCAUCUGGCUCUAAGCGUAGUAAUUUCUCUCGCUAUAGAGUCCCGGUGGAUGCUUGCCAGCAACCCCCAACUUUCUAUGGUUGACCUCGGAUCAGGUAGGGAUACCCGCUGAACUUAAGCAUAUCAAUAAGCGGAGGA